RNAcentral lists this long non-coding RNA (12287 nucleotides) under Triticum aestivum (bread wheat). RNAcentral describes it as "long non-coding RNA (TAES_LNC000627)". The record is from RNAcentral. Lineage: Eukaryota; Viridiplantae; Streptophyta; Magnoliopsida; Poales; Poaceae.
UCGUAAACUGUUGAAACUUUAGUGCAACAAUUUUUCAUGACACCACAAACUGGUGUUAUUUCACAUUCGCAUGGGUAGGUUUCAGAGCACUUGAAUACGCUAUCAAGUACACAACUGAGAUCGACAUUAUGGUAUUAGACAUCACAGAGUGGGUUAGGAGUGCUAGUUUUCUUACAAGUGAAUUAUCAAUCGUCAAACUCAAUGCCAUCAGAUGCCUGGAACUCGUACCUAAAGCAAUUAGGCCCAAGAAGAUUGUAGGGAAUAUCCAUAGUUGACCAAGUUACCAUCACCUCCACAGUGGCCAAACCAAAAUAGAAAGGCAAGCUUUGAGUACCAUGUUUUUCAACCCGGAAAGCAUCGCAUCGAUACAUGUCCGGCCCACCCUUCUGACUGAGCUUCAAUGUUACAACCAACUUUGCAUCUUGCGCCAUAGCAACCACGGCCCUGGUUAGCUCAGAUGUCUCGGCGGCGAUAACCCCAUCAAACAGCUGGAUUUUGCCACGUGCAGCAUAAGAUGGGCUAGUGUAAGACCCUACCAAACACAGGCUUAAGCAACUGUCCUGCUUAAUUUCUGAUAUGCCAACCUGUAUGGUGGCCUCCGAGGCUUGUUCCAGAAGUGCAAACGUUAUGUCCAUUGAGCCACAAUCACCAUCCAAUCGUCAUGUGAUUACCCUAGCGUGGCUUGUGCCUCUGUCGCUGAAUUGGGCAACACCAUCAAUGAGCUCUAGAUCACCACCUUCUUCUCCUCCUGUCUUAAUCUUCAGGUCAAACUCAAUUACCACAGUAGCGUGCAUUCUGAUGCCUCUCUUAGGGCCAGACAUCUGUAUGAGGCCAUAAUGCCCCACAAUGAAAGGAUCAUCUCUUGUACGGUUGAAGGCAUAGUUGCGCAUAGGGUUCAACAGAUCUCUGACAGCCACGUAGCCAUAAAACUCAACUGGGUCACCAACAUACGAUGUGUUAGCUAGCUUCAGCGAGAAUAUCUGCAUCAUGGCGCAAUAUGAAUGCCUUCCACAGACCCUCCAGUUAGGCAUGCAACUGUCAUAAGGCACAGUCAUCAUUGGCUCCAGACAAGCUGAUCGACAACAAUAGAAAUCAUUCAGUACAUGAUUAAAACAAUUAACCUCCAGCUUUCAACUGAGACAAAAUAGAUUGAUACAAACAAAUAUUACGAAUCAUGAUUUUCGUACUCAUACAUAUGAGACCUAAUGAUGUCUAAAAUUAUAAUGUAGGACUGAAACAUAAAUAUGGCAAUUACGAAUAUUAACAUAAUAAUACAGCAGUCAUAAAUUUGGAUAAAAACCAUAAUGUUAAGCAUAGCCUACUUAAGCAUGGCAAAAUUCCUAUUGUUACGGCCAUCUAAUAAAUUGUUGGCUACAGAAAAUGAGUGGAAAAUACUGAACUUGUGUAGUGUGCUUCGUGGGAUGAGAAUGAGAGAGUAUGUACACUAAAUGUCUAGUUGCAAAAGUUGCUUCACAUAUAGCUAAUUAUGACUUUUUUUUAUGUACCAUUGGUGAAUUUUGCAAGUACAUGGCAUGUUCUAGAAUAUGCAGCAGCUGUAUGAAAACAGCGGAUCAUGAUUAAUUUAAACGGGCUUGGAACUGGGACAUCGUCUUGCGCAUAUAAUCUAAAGAAUGAACUGAAUUUAACUUGCAAAAAAUUACCAAGUAAAAUAAACAACAACACGAGGAUCCAUCGAUCUUGUGCAUCUAAAUAUUUUUAAUCAACAGAAACAAGUGAUUGUAAAUGAUCAAUAGACAUUUUUUAGAUCAUACAACACACAUAUUUUAACUUUAGAUAUACCAUUAACAGGGGAAAAUUGCAUCUGUACCGUUAAAAUAACACCAUUUUGGCAAAAUAUUACUGAAAGACCUGACUUCAGAUAUAUAGCAUUGAGAAGAACACUGUCAAAAUAGACGAUUCCGUUUGGGCCUUCCAUAUGUUUUUGUCCAUUGCCUCCAUGGACGUCCCUGCCAUGUUAACCCCUGACCUACACUACGCCAAGACCGAAAGGCAUGCACAANNNNNNNNNNNNNNNNNNNNNNNNNNNNNNNNNNNNNNNNNNNNNNNNNNNNNNNNNNNNNNNNNNNNNNNNNNNNNNNNNNNNNNNNNNNNNNNNNNNNNNNNNNNNNNNNNNNNNNNNNNNNNNNNNNNNNNNNNNNNNNNNNNNNNNNNNNNNNNNNNNNNNNNNNNNNNNNNNNNNNNNNNNNNNNNNNNNNNNNNNNNNNNNNNNNNNNNNNNNNNNNNNNNNNNNNNNNNNNNNNNNNNNNNNNNNNNNNNNNNNNNNNNNNNNNNNNNNNNNNNNNNNNNNNNNAACACGCAAAGGGAAAGGAGGGGAGAGAACCAAGUUGUUAAGUUCUGUCUCAUCAUCAAGUAGAAAUGUUCCUUGCCUAACCCAAGUGUGGUCUUAAUAAAGUUAUAAAAGAAAAUCCAGAGGCGCUAAAGUCUCCACGGAUGUUGCUGAACCCUCGCAAUGGGAAGAACAACAAGACUUCAUCUGCAAUAGCUCACUCAAGCCCAGGUGUGACACUAGAAGAAUGGCACGUAUUUCUAUAAUAAGUUCAGAUUCUAGAACUAGAAAGAAUGCUAUCCAUCUCAUCUGAAGGAAUAAACCGAAGGCUUAUUAUCAAGAAUUAUAGUUGGUACUUGGUACAUGGGCAAAUCUCUCUGGUGUAAAACUAUGUCAGAUCUCUAUUUGGCAACCAUGCUACUAUUAUGCGAACAACCCCUGUUGUGAUGUUGUUGCUGUGAACCAUGUCAGAAUUAAGCAACUGUGUUGCUAUUAUACUGAAUGACAGCAUUUAAAUGUUCCUUGUGUGUUGAAUCCAGUUGAAAAUGUCGUAGUUAAUGGCAGGAUAACAGAUAUGGAAGAUUGCAAAAUGAUGUGUUCUUUUGAUGGCAAAAAUCUGAAGUUGGCAUUUUGCCAAAGUUGUGCUCUUGUAAGUGUUCAGAUCGAGAAACCACAUAAAGAGGUGCCCUUUAGGGAUUUGGUAAUACUAAAAUCACCUAUAUGAGCUAACCUAAGAUUCGACAAUUGAAAUGGAAAAAAAUCAAAAAAAAAAAUUGAGAUGGAAAGAGUUGCGUACUCUCACUGGUAUCAUAGAGACGGUAAACUUUAGCCCAAUAACCGUCGCUUCUGUAGAUGGAUCCAUCGCCAUGCUUCAAUUUCCAAAGCAGUUCAGCACGCACGACGCCGUCGAGGGGACGCCCGUCGGCGCCCAAGGGUACUCUGCUCUGGGGAGCCGUCGACGAUGCAACCGCCUCUGCGCCGCCUCUCUCCAUCCUACUUCUCCUCUCUUCGUUUGGAUCCUCGCAACCUCACGGAGUCAUAGACGAUGAGACGGCUUGUGCGCCACCGCUCUCCAUCCUUCCCUUCUCUUCGAAGGGGUUGCCGCCGCCCAAGGUCAUUCCGCUCCUCGGAGCCAUCGACGACCCGGCCUCUUGGGCGCCGCCGCUCCCCAUCUCUUUUUUCCCCCUUCGACUGGAUUUUGGCAUUGGUCAGGGCAUCUCCAGCCGAGAAAAUCGACUAUUUGCCACUUUCAAUAUCGGGUUUCGCAAAACUGUCACUCUCAACAUUGGCUUUGUAAAAAUGCCACCCAGUUCGUGUGCAUUUUGAUUACCAUGCCAUUUUUCCUUUUUCAAUUACUUUUCUUUUUCUUUUCAAUUUUCUGGCACCUGAAAGGACCAAAGUACCCUUGUCUCUUUCUACCUUAUCCAAUCUGUUUGUGGUCUGGUCUGUACCGGAUUGCUCUGAGGCUAGCUUGUUCUUGUCGUCAUGGUCGCUCGUUGUCGUACCUCGUUGAUGCCCGCGCGAGCUACCCAACUCGCCGCCCUAGCUUGACCACGCCUGAGCGAGAACUGCAGGUCGCCGCAGGUGCUCGCCCAUGGCUGCGCGCGCCGCUGCAACUCGCCCUCGUCACUGCAGCUCUCCGCCGGCGCUCAUCCAUGUCUACACACGCCGGCACAGUUCGCCCUCGCGUCGCGAAUGCUUACGCGUGCCAGCGCAGUUCGCCGUGGGUGCUCGCCCCCUUGCGGAUGCUUGCGCGUACUCGCUGCGGGUGCUCACCUAUGCCUGCGCGCGACAGCACAGCUCGCCCUCCCCUGCGUGUGUUGGCGCAGCUCGCCCCGCGACAUGCCUGACAAGUGGGUGGUGCUGAACAUCAGCAUCAGUGGCAUGAUGGCAGCAGCCGCUGGAGGAGAUGGAUGCGUGUCAAGUUCUGACGGUGUUGAAUGCAAGCAACCUUUAAAUGACGUUUGCUGUAACCUUUAGUUGAUGUUGGAUUGCAACUUGGCAAUUACAUCAAGAAUAUCAUGUCAUGUUUAAUUUCAUGUCCAGAAUCAACUGAGCAACAAUACGACAAAUAAAUAAUGCCGCAAAUUUCAGUCCAUAAGCUACUUGCCACAAUGUUUUCUUUUGCACUUACUGUAGCUUAUUCAGAGACAAGAAAUGAAAUUGUGACUAGAAAAAGUAUGCAAACCUCAAAUUUUAGUACAUUAGCAAGGGAGAGACAUAUAGACACUUCAACCAUGAUUGGUAGAUGAAUAUGAAAUGUGUUCACUUCUCACAAAAUAAAGUGAUGAGUUCACAUAAUAAGUUCACAGCUCAAAAAAUAUAUGAGCUCACAGCUCAGAGAAAUGUGUUCACUUCAUGCAACUUUUUCUGUAAUUCUUUAGCACCCAUACUGGGUGAAUCUCUAAGGAUACUCACAGCCUUGCUAGCAACCCAGUUCUGAGAUGGUGUUAUGGUCUUCACCCUGCUGCUUGAAAUACAAUCAUGUUGAUCAACUAAGACCGUGACCUCCACAUAUACAGUUUUAGAAGGAAUGGAUGUUAGAUAGUAAAAUAGGACAGACAUACGCACAUACGUAAUUUAUAAUUAAUAAAUGGAGGUUAGACAGUUAUCCAUAUUUCACCUUUAUAGUACAUUUGUCAUCCUGUAGGCCGCCAACAAUUCUCCAAGGGCAAUCUUCACUUGACUUGCAGAACCCUCUAAAUCUCUUCUUAUCUGACUUCUUCGUGCCUAGAUCAAACUCUUCAUUGAUGGCAAAUUGUCUUACUGCUAACCUGAAUUCCUUCAUUGAUGGAUACAUAGUGCCAAGGUCCAUUUUUGGCUGGUCUUUAUCAUAUGUAAUCACUACUUCAUUUGGUAUGGCAUCACUAACAGGAAUGGCAGCACCUUCAUUAUCGGUCCCCUGCUCAACCAUUCUACGACGCUUUGGUUCAGUCUUACAUUUUUUCUCUUCCUUGUCAUCCUUCAAGCCCAAAAUCUCACAUAGUUGAUUCUCACUCACUAGUUCAAUUCUACCUUCAUCAUCAUGUGUUACUAUUUGUAAGUUAUCCCAGUCAACUUCUAUGAUAGGUGGUGUUGGUUGUACAGUUGAAGAAGCCUCAACCAAUAAAUAUGGAUUAUCAGUACUAGUACUGCUACCAAGCGCGACCUCCGAAUCAUGCCUAUUCCAGACAAUUAGGAAAACAUGAACACAAGACUGAGUUAGUGAUCAGACUUCUACAAUGCAUGUAUCUAGCUCAACUUAAAGACAAUGCAAAAAAUAUGUGUAAUCAUCCUCUAGUUCCUCAACAUAAUUUACUACUUCCCUUCGUAAUUAAGUUUACAUUCGCUUCUGUUGUAAAUUGACAGCCUAUCACUGCCACCAGGAUAACAAUGAAAAAACUACCUCUGUUUAAUUAAUGCUUACAUUAUGAGCGCUACUUCUGUUGUAAAUUCUUCUCAAUAAGAUGGUAUAUCAUCAUUCGGAUUUAUACAUCAAUGGUUAUCUACAGGGAGUAGAUGAGGGAUGAUGAAUGUGCUUCCCACAGAUUCCAUACGUCACAUGAGGAGCUUUGUUGAACUGGAAUCAAACAAACAAACCAAGGGAAAGAUAAAACAUAAUACCGUCCAGAAAGAUUGGGUUCCAUGUCGCCACUGCGGUACUGGGUGACGGGCAGCACGCGACGCCGCGGAGAUUGGCGGCACGCGGCGUUGAGGCAAUCAGCGGCGUCGCGACGUCCAGGAGAUGGGGGCGGCGUCCAGCGAUUGACCCAAGAAGUCCUGGCGGCCAGGGAUGCGGCAAGCACGGUAUUCACGGCGGGCAGCACGCACUCGUCCGCUUCAAGUGCUGAUCUGAUGCCAAAGUACGUGAAGAUAGCUAUAGGGGUACUUCGGUCCUUUCAGGUGCCAGAAAAUGGAAAAGAAAAAUAAAAGCAAUGAAAAAAGAAAAAAUGGCAUGGUAAUCAAAGGGCACACGAACUCGGUGGCAUUUUUGCGAAGGCAAUGUUCAGAGUGGCAGUUUUGCGAAGCCCGAUAUUGAAAAUGGCAAAUAGCCGAUUUUCUCUCUCCAGCAGCAGAUAAAAAAUCACACCGACCAAAAAAACUUCUUUUCUGUUUUGAAAGGAAAACGAAACAUUUUUAGGAAAAAAAACCCAACUGUUGUCACGACCAAAAAAUUUCACAAGCCCCCUAAAAAUAUCACAAGUGAUACAUAUUUGGGUCACCACUAGCAGCCGACCAAAAAACCACAAAAUGAUGGCAUCAAGACCAAUCACCGCUUGGUGAAUUUUCAUCGUCAAUGUGCCGCCGUGCAUUGCCAGCCGGCCAGAAGCACGCGUGCCUGGCAUGUCACAUGCCCGGUCCGACACGCGUGUUUGGGACCGUGUCUGGACCGCGAGGCGAGGCCCACGUGCCGACACUGCACGACCCUUUUUUAUUACUUUUUAACAACAAAAUUUGGGGUAAAUUAGGUUACACCGCUAUGUCUCCUACCUCUUGUGUAUGUUCUAUUUAGCCUAAUAGUCCCCUAAAAAAAUUAGCCUAGUAGCCUAGCACGAUUGUAGAAAAUUGCCCUAGUUUUCGGACUGUUUUUUUGACUUUGAUUGAUCUAGGCUAUGGUAGGGUGUUUUUUCAAGAAGAAACAGAACCAAAUAAUGAUGCAUAUGAAGGUGCCCAUUAGGCGGAGGCAAAGUCUGUCAAAUGUCACUGCAGCUAGUCUUUUGAAGUCUUCUAUUCACAAAGAAAUUAAUUUGGAUGAGUUGCCUUAUGACCCCGCUGAUCGGAAGAGAAUUUUUCAAAGUACACAAGAAAUCCCAAUAAGCAAUAUGGGAUAAGACGCAAAUUUUUAACAAGGGAAUCUUAUAGGCCACCACUUAAUUUUGAUUAUCCGCAGAGGGAGAUUGGAGAUACUCAACGGUGAUUUAAUCCAUUGGUUUGAUGAAUAUGGUCGUUGGCUUGAGUAUAGUGACAAAGUGCAUAAGGCCUUCCGUUGUGUUGCUACCUUUUCAAAGAUUACAACGAGGGACAAGCUGGUAGUGGUGCAUUUGCAGUUAACAGCUGGAACAAAAAUUAGUACUAUCAAGUUAUCACAACGAGUCAAUGAGCGAAUCCAAUGGCCAAAUUUUCUUGCUCCGCCCCUCGCUAGAUGGUUUUUUCUCUGUCUUUAAUCUUCAAUACAAUGUUCUCCUCGAUGUUAGGAGUUCUAUCCGAUGUAAUCUUCUUUUGCGGUGUGUUUGUUGGGAUCCGAUGAAUUGUGAGUUUAUGAUUUGAAUAUCCUUGAGAAGUAAUUGAGUCUUUUUUGAACUUUAUCAUGCAUGCUUUUUAUAGCUUUAUAUUUUUCUCCGAUCUAUCCGUUUGGUUUGGCCAACUAGAUUGAUUUAUCUUCAGUGGAAGGGUGAUUUGUGAUGAAUUCAAUCUUGCGGUGCUCCAUCCCAUUGACAGAAAGGGACAAGACAUGCAUUUGUAUUGUUGUCAUUAAGGGUAAAACGACGGGGUUUAUUCAUAUUAGUUUAGUUUACUUUGUCUAUAUCAUGUCAUCUUGCUUAAGGCGUUACUCAGUUUUUAUGAACUUAAUACCAUAGAUGCAUGCUGGAUAGCGGUCGAUUGGUGGAGUAAUAGUAGUAGAUGCACACAGGAGUCGGUCUACUUGUCUCGGAUGUUAUGCCUAUAUACAUUAUCAUUGCCUUGAAUAUCGUCAUAACUAUGCGAUUUUCUAUCAACUGCCCAACAGUAAUUUGUUCACCCACCGUAUGUUAUGUGUUCGGGAGAGAAGGCUCUAGUGAAAACUAUGGCCCCCGGGUCUACUUUAAUCAUAUAUAAAAAAUCCAACAUACCUUUGCUGCAAUUUUAUUUCUUUUGUUUUUUUCUAUCUACCACUACGAGAUUUGAUCCUUAUAAUUAACGAGUUCAAGGGGAUUGACAACCCUCUUGCCCGUGUUGGGUGUAAGUAUUUGCUUUUGUGUGUGCCGGUGUUGUUCACGAAGCUUUGCGUGAUUCUCCUAUUGGUUCGGUAAAGCUUGGUUCUCACCGAGGGAAAUACUUAUCUCUAUAGUACUGCAUCUCAUCUCCUCUUCGGGGAAAGUCCCAACGCAGCUCAGAAGUAGCAAUCACGUUUUCUGGGUCUUAGGAUAUCGUUUAGUGUAACAAUACUCCUAAAACAACAUUGGGAUUAUGACAUUGGGAGAACGAUUAUAUUGAAUCGACCUAAACUUAUUUGCCAAGAAGAGAAUGCACAUGGCUUAGAGGAGGCGGCGUCGGUGGCUCGGCCGAUGUCUCCCCUUGGUUCCCUGAAUGGCGUGAAGAUGUUGGCGAUGAGGUAAAUUUUGACAUUCCCCUCAGUAUUUCAAUUUGAGUCAUUUUAGUAUAUUUCUCCUCCCAUACAACAAUUUGAUACAUGUCUGCAGAAGGUACUAAAUCACCUAAUUACCUCUGCAAAGAAAGAACUUGGCCUCGCGUUUGUGGAUGCUCCCGUUCUUCAUUUGAAGCAAACUGUCGAGAAGAAAAUGCAAAGUCUUGAGCUGAAAGCCUUCUCCAACUCUGCAUAAUCAAGUGAUGGUGGUUUCAUCGGUGAUGGGAUUACCAGGCAAUACUUUGAAAGCCUUACUCCAACUCUGCAUAAUCAAGUGAAUCUGGUGUCCCCGGCAAUUUCUUUGGCUUUCUUACAUGAUCCUUAUGUGAUGGAUGCAGCACUCCUUGCGUCCUCACAAAUUAAUAUUCUACCGGUCAACAACAGCACAAGUGAUGAAGCAGACAUGGGAUCCCACUGGCUAGUCAUGGUUUUGUACAGACCAAUCAACAGUGCGCCUCGACUGGUGCACCACGACAGCAGCGAAGGUCGCAUUAAUAACGCAGUCGUGGAACGUCUCGCCUCCUCAAUUCGCUGUGUGUUGCCUCCCUUCCAAGCAUCGGUCAUCGAGCAUGCAAGCACUCCACUACAGGAUAACGGCGCCGAUUGCGCAGUUUUCGUGAUGGCAAUUGCCAAUUACGUUGGCAGCUAAGCAGUGACCAUCAAGGACAGCAGCCGCAACAAGAUUGGGUGAAUACACUCGUGGGCGAUCUAGACCAUAAUGUCGUCACCCAGAUGAGAAAUGAUGUUAUAGGGUUUCGACAAAUAAAAAAUAUAGUUAAAGGUUAUAAAAUACAAUAAUUCAGGAACAAUCUACUGCACUAUGCCGAAUUUAUUCAGGAACUCACUACAUUCGUCCUAAUCGAUUCAUUAUGCCAAAAAAGGAAUGCAUGAAGGCCUUUGUGUGAGUCAAGUACCAAAAUUUUGGCUCCGGUACGGGUCAAAUAUAUAUAAUUAUUCAUACUAAAUUUUAAUAUUUGUUUAUACAAUAUUAUUUUAAUCACAACCAUACCUAGUUUAAUAUGGCAACAUUGGGCUAUUGUUUGCAUCGAGAUUUACAAUAAAAGUAAAUCAAAACACUCCUUCAAUAACAUGUUUAAACUAAAUCCUCUUAAUUGUGAAAAUCUGACAAAAUCGCAUGUUUUCUUUGAUUAUUUUGUGACACUUGCAUGAAUAUAGUUUAUAUGUUUGUGAUGUAUCCUUAAAAAAUUUAGUAGAGAUCUGUAACAUGUAUGAUAUAAGAAAUAUCUCGACAGAAGUCUCUAUAAUGAGAUAUGAGAAAAUAGAAAAAUCUAGAUUAUAUAAGAUGUUUACAAGAAGCUUGUUACUGAACCAUCACAUUUUUUUUCUAUUCCAAGGUGUCUUACAUAUUAUGUUGGGUUCGAUAAUUUGUCCCAAUUCCCCAAACGAUCCCAACUCGCACACAAAAACAACCCCUAGUUGCAUCUAUCUUGCACACCCUUUGUCGUAGGCCCUCGCCCUCGUCGACCUUACAUCCGACGCCAAUCCACUUUGCAUGUAUAAUUGUAUCGCCCAUUUCCUAUUUUCUGCAGGUAUGCAUUAAUAUCUGAUCCAGAUUCUUGCUACAUCCCUUUACUACAACAAUGUCGAGCUAUAUUACAAAGUGUGCAACUUAUAGAGUAGGGUGCAGAUGAGCUCGGAUGCAGAAAUGGAUUUUUUUUCGUCAGCAUGGGUGCAGAUGAGCUCGGGUGCAGAAAUGGAUUUUCGCAACUGAGUAGGGCGUUUUGGUGCCUAGGCUCAUCUGCACCCGGUUAGAAACAAUUUCGUAAAAAAUUCAAAACAAAUUCAAAAAAUUCCAAAUCUUAUUUGUGCGGUAGACAAUUUGAUGUGUGAGGCCCGCUCCGAAUUUCAAGUCAUUUGGACAUUUGAGCACCUCUUAGCAAAAAAGACAAAUCAGACCAAAACAGUACAUAACAAUAAACAUUUUUACAGACUCCCAAUUUGUCUUUUUUGCCGAGAGCUCCUCUGAUGUCCAAAUGAUUUGAAAAUUGGAGCGGACCUCACGCAUCAAAUUGUCUACAACACAAAAAAAUUAGAAUUUUUUGAAUUUUUCUAGUAUUUGUUUUGAUUUUUUCGUCAGCGUGGGUGCAGAUGAGCUCGGGUGCAGAAAUGGAUUUUCGCAACUUAUAUGGGUACUAUCUUUCAUUUGUAUGGUCCCGGCUGGAUGCUUGUUGCCUAACUUCAUUGUGGCCUCCAUGUUAGCUUUUGCGUCACAUAUAGGUUCCCUCGUGUUAGCUUCAUUUCCUUUUGGAUUACCUCCUACCCUUAACUAAUGGAUCGACUCACUGAAUUAGGUUCUACAAUGUAUGUACUACUACUACUACUACUACUUAUAAUGCAUUUGGGUUCCUAUAAUAUACUCUCUGUGUAGCUAGAUGACCUGAUCUAUGUUCCCCGGCUCUUGUGACAUUCAUGAUUCCACGUAUCUCAUCUACCAUUAAUUGUUGACAUUGAUCUCGCUUUCUAACACACGAUGUGGAGGCAUCACCCUCUUCCAAGUCUAAGGAUCCCAUCGUCAUCAAUAUCUCCGACAAUGAGGAGUAGCUUGUUUUUUUAGCUUACUAUAAGGACCUAUGUUCGGCUAGCUACGCAACUUAAACAUGUUCGGUUUACCUGUUGCAUGUGAUGCUCCUGCUUUUCCUUUAGAAAUUCCAGUGAAUUUUCCUAUGUAAUAUUACUAUGCAAUCUGAUCCUCUAAUAUAUAUGUUUUAUAUUAUGCAAUGUGGUGCUCAGUUAACUGUUGGUUCAUUUGUUGUGAUGUCUAAUUCUGCAAUGUGAUGUUCAAUUCUUGUGGGUGCAAUUUUGUAUUGUUAUGCAUGUGAGAAAAAAAUCGAAUUUGGUUGUAUUAAGUACAUGAGAAAUAUAUACGAUUGUUAUAUUUCUAAGUUGUUAAGCAUGCUUGGUUUGGUUAACUGUCUGAUCUUCUAGUAUGUUCUAUUGUACAAUGUGGUGCUCAGUAAACUAUUUGGUUCAUUUGUUGUGGUAUUCAGUUAAAUGUUCUGAAUCUUCAGUUGUGAAGUUCCAUGUUUUUCAACACGGAAAACAUCACAUUGAUACAUGUCCUGCCCACCCUUCUGACUGAGCUCCAAUGUGACAACCAACUUAGCAUCUUGCGCCACAGCAACCACGACCCUGCUUAGCUCAGAUGUCUCGGCAGCGAUAACUCCAUCAAACAGCUGGAUUUUGCCACGUGCUACAUAAGAUGGGCUAGUGUAAGACCCUACCAAACACAGGUUUAAGCAACUGUCCUACUUGAUUUCUGAUAUCCCAACAUGUACAUUGGCCUCCGAGGCUUGUUCUAGAAGUGCAAACGUUAUGUCCACUGAGCCACAAUCACCAUCCAAUCGGCGUGUGAUUACGCUAGCAUGGCUAUUGCAUCUGUCGCUGAAUUGGGCAACACCAUCAAUGAGCUCUAGAUCACCACCUUCUUCUCCUCCCGUCUUAAUCUUCAGGUAAAACUCGAUUACCACAGUAGCUUGCAUUCUGAUGCCUCUCUUAGGGCCAGACAUUUGUAUGAGGCCAUCAUGCCCCACAAUGAAAGGAUCAUCUCUUGUACGGUUGAAGACAUAGUUGCGCAUAGGGUUCAACAGAUCUCUGACAGCCACGUAGCCAUACAACUCAAUUGGUUCACCAACAUAUGACGUGUUAGCUAGCUUC